AGCGAACGCUGGCGGCAGGCCUAACACAUGCAAGUCGAACGAACUCUUCGGAGUUAGUGGCGGACGGGUGAGUAACACGUGGGAACGUGCCUUUUGGUUCGGAAUAACUCAGGGAAACUUGUGCUAAUACCGAAUGUGCCCUUCGGGGGAAAGAUUUAUCGCCAUUAGAGCGGCCCGCGUCUGAUUAGCUAGUUGGUGAGGUAACGGCUCACCAAGGCGACGAUCAGUAGCUGGUCUGAGAGGAUGACCAGCCACACUGGGACUGAGACACGGCCCAGACUCCUACGGGAGGCAGCAGUGGGGAAUCUUGCGCAAUGGGCGAAAGCCUGACGCAGCCAUGCAGCGUGAAUGAUGAAGGUCUUAGGAUUGUAAAAUUCUUUCACCGGGGACGAUAAUGACGGUACCCGGAGAAGAAGCCCCGGCUAACUUCGUG
RNAcentral lists this ribosomal RNA (433 nucleotides) under uncultured bacterium. RNAcentral describes it as "partial 16S ribosomal RNA". It matches the Rfam family "Bacterial small subunit ribosomal RNA", at positions 29 to 507 of the family's 1533-position model. The record is from RNAcentral.